UAACCGGAUUAGAUACCCUGGUAGUCCACGCCGUAAACGAUGUCGACUUGGAGGUUGUGCCCUUGAGGCGUGGCUUCCGGAGCUAACGCGUUAAGUCGACCGCCUGGGGAGUACGGCCGCAAGGUUAAAACUCAAAUGAAUUGACGGGGGCCCGCACAAGCGGUGGAGCAUGUGGUUUAAUUCGAUGCAACGCGAAGAACCUUACCUGGUCUUGACAUCCACGGAAGUUUUCAGAGAUGAGAAUGUGCCUUCGGGAACCGUGAGACAGGUGCUGCAUGGCUGUCGUCAGCUCGUGUUGUGAAAUGUUGGGUUAAGUCCCGCAACGAGCGCAACCCUUAUCCUUUGUUGCCAGCGGUCCGGCCGGGAACUCAAAGGAGACUGCCAGUGAUAAACUGGAGGAAGGUGGGGAUGACGUA
Molecule: ribosomal RNA, 416 nt
Filed under: uncultured bacterium
Lineage: Bacteria
Description: bacterial SSU rRNA
Rfam family: Bacterial small subunit ribosomal RNA
Source: RNAcentral